RNAcentral lists this ribosomal RNA (253 nucleotides) under uncultured bacterium. RNAcentral's name for it is "partial 16S ribosomal RNA". It matches the Rfam family "Bacterial small subunit ribosomal RNA", at positions 524 to 776 of the family's 1533-position model. The record is from RNAcentral.
UACGUAGGGCGCAAGCGUUGUCCGGAAUUAUUGGGCGUAAAGAGCUCGUAGGCGGUUUGUCGCGUCUGCUGUGAAAACCUAAGGCUCAACCUUGGGCUUGCAGUGGGUACGGGCAGACUAGAGUGCGGUAGGGGUGACUGGAAUUCCUGGUGUAGCGGUGGAAUGCGCAGAUAUCAGGAGGAACACCGAUGGCGAAGGCAGGUCACUGGGCCGCAACUGACGCUGAGGAGCGAAAGCAUGGGGAGCGAACAGA